GACGAACGCUGGCGGCGUGCUUAACACAUGCAAGUCGAACGGAAAGGCCUCUUUCGGGGGGUACUCGAGUGCCGAACGGGUGAGUAACACGUGAGUAACCUGCCCUUGACUUUGGGAUAACUUCAGGAAACUGGGGCUAAUACCGGAUAGGAGCUCCUGCUGCAUGGUGGGGGUUGGAAAGUUUCGGCGGUUGGGGAUGGACUCGCGGCUUAUCAGCUUGUUGGUGGGGUAGUGGCUUACCAAGGCUUUGACGGGUAGCCGGCCUGAGAGGGUGACCGGCCACAUUGGGACUGAGAUACGGCCCAGACUCCUACGGGAGGCAGCAGUGGGGAAUAUUGCACAAUGGGUGGAAGCCUGAUGCAGCAACGCCGUGUGCGGGAUGACGGCCU
RNAcentral lists this ribosomal RNA (389 nucleotides) under uncultured bacterium. RNAcentral describes it as "bacterial SSU rRNA". It matches the Rfam family "Bacterial small subunit ribosomal RNA", at positions 28 to 417 of the family's 1533-position model. The record is from RNAcentral.